UAGGGAAUAUUGGACAAUGGGUGAGAGCCUGAUCCAGCCAUGCCGCGUGCAGGAAGAAAGCCUUCUGGGUUGUAAACUGCUUUUGCCAGGGGAUAAAAACACUAUGCGUAGUGGAUUGAAGGUACCUGGUGAAUAAGCCACGGCUAACUACGUGCCAGCAGCCGCGGUAAUACGUAGGUGGCAAGCGUUGUCCGGAUUUAUUGGGUUUAAAGGGUGCGUAGGCGGUCCAGUAAGUCAGUGGUGAAAUACGGCAGCUCAACUGUCGAGGUGCCAUCGAUACUGUUGGACUUGAGUACUGAUGAGGUAGGCGGAAUGGACGGUGUAGCGGUGAAAUGCUUAGAGAUCGUCCAGAACACCGAUAGCGAAGGCAGCUUACUAAGGAGUAACUGACGCUGAGGCACGAAAGUGUGGGGAUCAAACAGGAUUAGAUACCCUGGUAGUCCACACUGUAAACGAUGAUUACUCGAUGUGUGCGAUACACGGCACGCGUCUUAGCAAGAGCGAUAAGUAAUCCACCUGGGGAGUACGCCGGCAACGGUG
This 540-nucleotide ribosomal RNA is filed under the name uncultured bacterium. RNAcentral's name for it is "bacterial SSU rRNA". It matches the Rfam family "Bacterial small subunit ribosomal RNA", at positions 355 to 896 of the family's 1533-position model. The record is from RNAcentral.